AUUUGGUCAGCCUAUUCCCAACACAUGAAUUCAUCGACAGCAUAUGUGUUAAGGGGAAGAGAAAGGGGAUCAUUGUUACAUCAGUUGAGGAAGAAAUACAAGAAGAGCAGGUUGUUGAAAUGCAGGUAGCUGCAGAGUAAGAAGAUGAAGAGCCACUUGAUGACAGUCUCUUGCUGUAGAUGUGUGCCAAUUGAUAUGUGCAGAAAAGUAGUACUGUGGUCAACUUAAUGGAAGUGUCUCAUUUACUGCCCACGUUAAUUGCAAAGAUUUUUACCUCCAUCAUUGCUUUAGAGAUGUGUGGAUAAUUAUUUAAAUACAUUCCAAUUGGUGUUAUCUAUUUUACUGUACAAUUCUCUG
Molecule: long non-coding RNA, 357 nt
Organism: Ostrea edulis (European flat oyster)
Lineage: Eukaryota; Metazoa; Mollusca; Bivalvia; Ostreida; Ostreidae
Exons: 2
Source: RefSeq, a predicted model, not a curated record